AGCGAUUCCAACUUCGGGCAUGUUCGGGGAGAGGAACUGAUCGGGGCUCGGUGAGUCCGUGGGCUUCCCGGGCGCUAGUGUUGUUUACGGCGGCGCCGGUUGACGACGCUUGCAGUUCGCGCCCGGGCGUCGUGCGGCGCGCAAGCGGGUGGGAGCAUCGGGCGUCUGUUCCAGGGCGUCGCGACGCUCACGCCGUGGGGGUCUGCCGAGUGCGCCCUCUCAGUGAGACCUCCGCCGCUGCUGCCGGGCCGUGCCAGCACGUCGGCCAUUAGUUGUCCUGUGCACGACGAGAAGACUGCGCGCCAGUCCAGAGGCGACACCGCGCUAGAAGCACCGGCGAGCGUCGCGCUUAUCAUCCCGCCUCACCGACACACGUACACCACUGACGAGGCGAGGCCCCUUAACUGUUCGACACGAGAACUCGCUGCAUGCUUCCAGCAGGUCGUGUUAUCCGAGUCCAAAGCCGAACGCCCCACUUGCAUAGGUGGCUGUGAACCCUACAUUUCCGGAAAGCGGUGAGUGAACAUAUUUUUACCUUCAUUUUUUUAAAGAUAAGCUGCCCUUUAUUUCCGGUACGUGAAUGUACGCGCAGUGCAAUUCGGGAACGACAUACGCGGGGGCUGCAGUCCGCUCGCUUAAACCGCGCGUGACGUGGUUUUAGCAGCUGGGUGGACGGACGUGUCGGGGAAAUUGGGGUUUCUCGCGCGCGCGCGAAGGAAUUGGACGCACCUCUCGAGAUGAAUGGGGCGCGCUCGAUAAUCGAUUGCCUACCCCCCACUCCCUUUUCCCCUCCCCUCCCCUCCUCCGAGGUGGCUAGCUUGGGUCUGCAACCCUCGGAUCCCUCAGGGAAUCCCAACCACUUUCCAAGUUACCUUGUUAACUUUACUUUGUACUGCGAGACAUUCAUUCCAGGGUAUUUACGUUCACCCUUGCGUGCUUCUUAAAAAACUAUCCUCGUCGGAAACACAACCGGGGGAAGAAAAAAAAAUCGAAGACUUUAAAUGACCUUUUUUUCUCGAUAACAGAUUUGUGGUAACACUGAUUUGUGAUUUUUUUGACCUCUUAUUAAUGUUAUAAGAUUUAGAUACCUCAGGGAUAGCAGCGUAAUUCUUUUUGAGAGUUCAUAUCGACAGAAGAGAUUGCGACCUCGAUGUUGGAUUAAGAUUAUAAAUAGGUGUAGGUGCUUAUUAGUUAAGUUUGUUCGACUUUUGAAACCUUACAUGAUCUGAGUUCUAACAAUAAACUACGAUAUU
Long non-coding RNA from Bacillus rossius redtenbacheri, 1253 nucleotides. RefSeq lists it as uncharacterized. The record is from RefSeq and is a predicted model, not a curated record. The transcript has 3 exons. Lineage: Eukaryota; Metazoa; Arthropoda; Insecta; Phasmatodea; Bacillidae.